RNAcentral lists this long non-coding RNA (762 nucleotides) under Ananas comosus (pineapple). RNAcentral describes it as "long non-coding RNA (ACOM_LNC009791)". The record is from RNAcentral. Lineage: Eukaryota; Viridiplantae; Streptophyta; Magnoliopsida; Poales; Bromeliaceae.
AAAAAGAAAAAACUUAUAUUAGAUGUAGCUAAAAUGAUUUUUAAUAAGAUCCCUAGAGCAAGUGGCAAGAGACUUGGUGAUUGAUAUCCGAGACCCAAGUUCGAAUCCUAGUUGAUUCACAUUUCUAGUUAAGUUUAUUUCUAAAUGAAAUAAAUGAAGCCAGUAGUGUGCUACCUAUCUCUCGGAAGAAGGAAAAAAAAAAAGAUGAGUUAAUGAUGUCACUACAAUAGAAUUAGGUUAUAGGAAUACAUGUUUGGGACACUUUUGAGUAAGUGUCCCAUUUAUGCUAAAACUUAAAAACACAUCUACUAAUGCCUAAAUAUAAAGCCCAAUUCAACCAAAAAUAAAAGAUUACUCUACUCAACCCACCACACCCAGUCCAUUUGGCCCGAUUACAAACAGAAAAGAAAAAAAAAAAAGAAAAAUCAAUUACCAUCUUUUCUUCUCUCUUCACUCAAUCCACUGAAAUUCUAGACGAAGAGCCUUUCCUGUCUUCCUCGUCCGCCACCGCAGCCAACGAGAUAGAGUUUCGGCGGUUGCUAAAUGCUUAAAUAAGUAUUCGUAAAUUAACAGCACUCUUUUAGGUUAUAGCGACACUCUUUAACUGUCACUAUAUACCUAGCGACCCCAUAUAUAGCAACACUUUUUAAAAGUGUCGGUAAUUUUAGCUAGAAGCACUUUUUUGACAUGUACCUAUAUUUAAAAGUGUCGCUAUAGACCGUUUUUAUUGUAGUGUGUAUCAAUUUUUGCUCCUAACUUAAU